GCGCGUAGGUGGUUUGUUAAGUUGGAUGUGAAAGCCCCGGGCUCAACCUGGGAACUGCAUCCAAAACUGGCAAGCUAGAGUACGGUAGAGGGUGGUGGAAUUUCCUGUGUAGCGGUGAAAUGCGUAGAUAUAGGAAGGAACACCAGUGGCGAAGGCGACCACCUGGACUGAUACUGACACUGAGGUGCAAAAGCGUGGGGAGCAAACA
Molecule: ribosomal RNA, 208 nt
Filed under: uncultured bacterium
Lineage: Bacteria
Description: partial 16S ribosomal RNA
Rfam family: Bacterial small subunit ribosomal RNA
Source: RNAcentral